Molecule: ribosomal RNA, 274 nt
Filed under: uncultured Acidimicrobiales bacterium
Lineage: Bacteria; Bacillati; Actinomycetota; Acidimicrobiia; Acidimicrobiales
Description: partial 16S ribosomal RNA
Rfam family: Bacterial small subunit ribosomal RNA
Source: RNAcentral
UACGUAGGGAGCGAGCGUUGUCCGGAUUUAUUGGGCGUAAAGAGCUCGUAGGCGGCUUGGUAAGUCGGAUGUGAAAGCUCCAGGCUCAACCUGGAGUCGCCAUCCGAUACUGCCAUAGCUAGAGUCCGGUAGGGGCCCACGGAACUCCUGGUGUAGCGGUGAAAUGCGCAGAUAUCAGGAAGAACACCGGUGGCGAAGGCGGUGGGCUGGGCCGGUACUGACGCUGAGGAGCGAAAGCGUGGGGAGCGAACAGGAUUAGAUACCCUCGUAGUCC